CCUACGGGAGGCAGCAGUGGGGAAUAUUGCACAAUGGGGGAAACCCUGAUGCAGCAACGCCGCGUGGGUGAAGGAGCGUUUCGGCGCGUAAAGCCCUGUCAGCGGGGAAGAAGAAAGACGGUACCCGACCAAGAAGCCCCGGCUAACUACGUGCCAGCAGCCGCGGUAAUACGUAGGGGGCGAGCGUUAUCCGGAAUUACUGGGGGGAAAGGGAGCGUAGACGGGGAGGUAAGCCUGAAGUUGAAGCCCGCGGGCUAACCGCGGAACUGCUUUGGGAACUGUGUUGCUGGAGUGUGGGAGGGGUAAGCGGAAUUCCUGGUGUAGCGGUGAAAUGCGUAGAUAUCAGGAGGAACACCAGUGGCGAAGGCGGCUGUCUGGACCAUAACUGACGUUGAGGCUCGAAAGCGUGGGGAGCGAACAGGAUUAGAUACCCGGGUAAUC
This 441-nucleotide ribosomal RNA is filed under the name uncultured bacterium. Its description in RNAcentral is "partial 16S ribosomal RNA". It matches the Rfam family "Bacterial small subunit ribosomal RNA", at positions 338 to 795 of the family's 1533-position model. The record is from RNAcentral.